This 378-nucleotide unclassified non-coding RNA is filed under the name plant metagenome. Its description in RNAcentral is "partial contains 5.8S ribosomal RNA, internal transcribed spacer 2, and large subunit ribosomal RNA". The stretch from base 1 to 105 matches the Rfam family "5.8S ribosomal RNA", at positions 50 to 154 of the family's 154-position model. The record is from RNAcentral.
GAAAUGCGAUAAGUAAUGUGAAUUGCAGAAUUCAGUGAAUCAUCGAAUCUUUGAACGCACCUUGCGCUCCUUGGUAUUCCUUGGAGCAUGCCUGUUUGAGUAUCAUGAAAUCUUCAAAGUAAAUCUUUUGUUAACUCAAUUGGUUUCUACUUUGGUAUUGGAGGUCUUUGCAGCUUCACACCUGCUCCUCUUUGUUCAUUAGCUGGAUCUCAGUGUUAUGCUUGGUUCCACUCGGCGUGAUAAGUUAUCUAUCUCUGAGGACACUGUAAAAGGUGGCCAAGGUAAAUGCAGAUGAACCGCUUCUAAUAGUCCAUUGACUUGGACAAUACUUUUAUGAUCUGAUCUCAAAUCAGGUAGGACUACCCGCUGAACUUAAGC